GCCUUCGUGGUGUAGUGGUUAACACACUCGGCGCGUAUUCGAGAGGUCCAUGGUUCGAGUCCUGGCGAGGCCA
RNAcentral lists this transfer RNA (73 nucleotides) under Stegodyphus mimosarum. It matches the Rfam family "tRNA". From Rfam's summary of the family: Transfer RNA (tRNA) molecules are approximately 80 nucleotides in length. Their secondary structure includes four short double-helical elements and three loops (D, anti-codon, and T loops). The record is from Rfam by way of RNAcentral. Lineage: Eukaryota; Metazoa; Arthropoda; Arachnida; Araneae; Eresidae.